UACGUAGGGGGCUAGCGUUGUCCGGAAUCAUUGGGCGUAAAGCGCGUGUAGGCGGCCCGGUAAGUCCGCUGUGAAAGUCGGGGGCUCAACCCUCGAAAGCCGGUGGAUACUGUCGGGCUCGAGUACGGGAGAGGCGAGUGGAAUUCCUGGUGUAGCGGUGAAAUGCGCAGAUAUCGAGAAGAACACCGGUGGCGAAGGCGGCCAUCUGGACGGUGACUGACGCUGAGACGCGAAAGCGUGGGGAGCAAACAGG
Molecule: ribosomal RNA, 253 nt
Filed under: uncultured bacterium
Lineage: Bacteria
Description: partial 16S ribosomal RNA
Rfam family: Bacterial small subunit ribosomal RNA
Source: RNAcentral